GUACGUUGACGUCCUGGCACGAGACGACGCUGGCGGCGUGCCUAAUACAUGCAAGUCGAGCGGACCGAACGAGAGCUUGCUCUUGUUUGGUCAGCGGCGGACGGGUGAGUAACACGUGGGCAACCUGCCCGCAAGACCGGGAUAACUCCGGGAAACCGGAGCUAAUACCGGAUAACACCAAAGACCGCAUGGUCUUUGGUUGAAAGGCGGCUUCGGCUGUCACUUGCGGAUGGGCCCGCGGCGCAUUAGCUAGUUGGUGAGGUAACGGCUCACCAAGGCGACGAUGCGUAGCCGGCCUGAGAGGGUGACCGGCCACACUGGGACUGAGACACGGCCCAGACUCCUACGGGAGGGCAGCAGUAGGGAAUCUUCCGCAAUGGACGAAAGUCUGACGGAGCGACGCCGCGUGAGCGAAGAAGGCCUUCGGGUCGUAAAGCUCUGUUGUGAGGGACGAAGGAGCGCCGUUUGAAUAAGGCGGCGCGGUGACGGUACCUCACGAGAAAGCCCCGGCUAACUACGUG
Molecule: ribosomal RNA, 521 nt
Filed under: uncultured Geobacillus sp.
Lineage: Bacteria; Bacillati; Bacillota; Bacilli; Caryophanales; Anoxybacillaceae
Description: bacterial SSU rRNA
Rfam family: Bacterial small subunit ribosomal RNA
Source: RNAcentral